UACGUAGGGGGCAAGCGUUGUCCGGAUUCAUUGGGCGUAAAGAGCGUGUAGGCGGCCUGGAAGGUCAGCUGUGAAAACUCGAGGCUCAACCUCGAGACGUCGGCGGAAACCAUCUGGCUAGAGUCCGGAAGAGGAGAGUGGAAUUCCUGGUGUAGCGGUGAAAUGCGCAGAUAUCGGGAAGAACACCCGUGGCGAAGGCGGCUCUCUGGGACGGUACUGACGCUGAGACGCGAAAGCGUGGGGAGCGAACAGG
RNAcentral lists this ribosomal RNA (253 nucleotides) under uncultured bacterium. RNAcentral describes it as "partial 16S ribosomal RNA". It matches the Rfam family "Bacterial small subunit ribosomal RNA", at positions 524 to 776 of the family's 1533-position model. The record is from RNAcentral.